RNAcentral lists this ribosomal RNA (649 nucleotides) under Vibrio antiquarius. Its description in RNAcentral is "bacterial SSU rRNA". It matches the Rfam family "Bacterial small subunit ribosomal RNA", at positions 64 to 706 of the family's 1533-position model. The record is from RNAcentral. Lineage: Bacteria; Pseudomonadati; Pseudomonadota; Gammaproteobacteria; Vibrionales; Vibrionaceae.
UAUCUGAACCUUCGGGGAACGAUAACGGCGUCGAGCGGCGGACGGGUGAGUAAUGCCUAGGAAAUUGCCCUGAUGUGGGGGAUAACCAUUGGAAACGAUGGCUAAUACCGCAUGAUGCCUACGGGCCAAAGAGGGGGACCUUCGGGCCUCUCGCGUCAGGAUAUGCCUAGGUGGGAUUAGCUAGUUGGUGAGGUAAGGGCUCACCAAGGCAACGAUCCCUAGCUGGUCUGAGAGGAUGAUCAGCCACACUGGAACUGAGACACGGUCCAGACUCCUACGGGAGGCAGCAGUGGGGAAUAUUGCACAAUGGGCGCAAGCCUGAUGCAGCCAUGCCGCGUGUAUGAAGAAGGCCUUCGGGUUGUAAAGUACUUUCAGUCGUGAGGAAGGCGGCGUCGUUAAUAGCGGCGUUGUUUGACGUUAGCGACAGAAGAAGCACCGGCUAACUCCGUGCCAGCAGCCGCGGUAAUACGGAGGGUGCGAGCGUUAAUCGGAAUUACUGGGCGUAAAGCGCAUGCAGGUGGUUUGUUAAGUCAGAUGUGAAAGCCCGGGGCUCAACCUCGGAAUAGCAUUUGAAACUGGCAGACUAGAGUACUGUAGAGGGGGGUAGAAUUUCAGGUGUAGCGGUGAAAUGCGUAGAGAUCUGAAGGAA